AUUCCAUUUGUGUCUGAGAAAAUAGCUGCCAAAUCCUCAAAUCAAGAGAGUCAAUUUGUGUCUUGUUUAUAAAAGUAAAAAUGAUAUUCUCUACAAGAUACUAUUAGUGCAUCUGGUAACUUCCAUCAUUUCCUGGUGCUUCUGGGACGAACUGUUGUUCUUGACUUGUAACAGAAUUUCUUGAUGCAUACUUCCUUUUUUUUUCACAUGAAAUAUUAAAAUGAUACAUUUGGGCCGAGAGUUUAGAAAAUAAUUAUUUGCUGUUUUUGAGACAGAGCCUCAUUAUGCAACUCUGGCUGUCCUGGAAGCUCAUUAUGUAGACCAACCUGACCUUGAACUCACAGAGAUAUUCUUAUUUGUGCCUCUUAAAUGCUGGGAUUAAAAGUGUGUACAGCGUCACCUGGCUAAUGGGUGAAAAUUAUCCUGCAUUUGUUUGCUUGUGUCACAAAGUACGUAUCAGUAAGGAAACAGCCAUUUAUACUGUUUGAAACUGUGGCUUGGAUUCCGGCUAAAGGCAUCUUUGCUUAUUUUUGUUUUGCCCUGUCAGUCAGAAUGCAGCACAGAAGUUGCAGUGUUGUGGUGAAAUCACUUUGCAUUCGUAGCCCCUCCAUUGCCCAGGAUCUGUGGACACACGUUGAGAUGACUCGUUACAGGAUGUUUUGAGAAGUGACUUGGUCACUUCUGCUGCCUCCGCACCUCUGCACUCCUAGAGCAUGAUUAUAGCCGCAGAGGAAUCUGCAUUUUAAGCUAGGAUGCAUGAGGAGUACUUUAGGAAAGUAUUUGCCCUAAGAUUAGACUUAACCUUAAGACAUUCUCUUUUCCAAUCUAAUUUUUAUUUUGUUUAAAUGUGUAAGGGCCUGUGUGUCCUGGCGUGCUCGUGGGACCACCAUGAAGGUCAGGGAUCCAAGACGCUCACUAUGUAGCUAGCCAUGGCUGGCCCUAAGUUCACUAUGUAGACCAAGUUAGCUUCAACUUGCCUGCCUCUGCCUCCCUCGUGCUGUUGUACCUGGAAUUUUUGGUUGUUUUGUUUUGUUUUGUUUUUUCGAGACAGGGUUUCUCUAUAUUGCCCUGGCUGUCCUGAAACUCACUCUGUAGACGAGGCUGGCCUCAAACUCAGAAAUUCGCCUGCCUCUGCCUCCCAAGUGCUGGGAUUAAAGGCGUGCACCGCCACCACCCGGCUGUACCUGGAAUUUUUACACCUAAUCAUUAUAGACCUGUGUCUGAUCUGUUGUUGAAGAGCAGCAUGUUGUAAGUGAAUUGUGAUUCUAGCCAACUAGGUAAGCCAGUGGCCUGAUUAGAAAACCAUUUGCUUCCUGAACCCAUAGUUUAAAUGUCUAACAAGUCUCCCCAAGCUGGGCUGUGCUUUAUUCUGCAGUUUGCCCUGCCUUCUUUUAUCUGGCCUGUGGGUUUGGUUGAGGCUGUCCUGUUUUGUUAGUUUAGGUGAUGCUCCUAGAUUUGGUCUAAGUAGCUCUCGACUGCCAUCUCAACUGUGCCAUCUCUGAGUCUGUUUUUCUGUCAAUGAGAUGCAUAUGAUGGUGAAAUAUUUCUAGACCAGGUGUGGGGAUGCACACUAUAAUCUCAGCGGAAUUGUGAGUUCAAGCCUAGGCUAAUAGUGCCCUACCACCCAUUCCCAUCCCCCACCUCUGUCUCUAACAAGGAAAACAAAGAAUUCGUAGUGGUAGCUGGUGGGAUUGGUGCCUGCAGAUGGACAGACUACUUGCACACUGUUGCUGAAGAGAACGGGCAUUCUCUCUUCCACUUUACCUUCCCCUUCUCCCUCUCCCUCUCUCCCUAAGAUUAGGUCUCCUGUAGUCUAUUCUGACCUGGAACUAGAAUUGUAAGGGAAGAUGACCUUGAACCCCUGAUCCACCAGCAGUCUCCAACACAUCUUUGUAACUAGUGUACUCUUUGUUCAGAAGAAAUUUGUUUCCUGUUUUUGUUUUGUUUGUUUUUAAUGCUCAUGAAGGUAAAUGGCCUUGCAAGCAAGCAUCCUCUGCCUAUGAAAAUGCUCGUCUUUGUAUUAAAGUCAAAAUUUCUCCAGUGAGAUGGUUAAGGAAAAAAAACAAUUGUUCUCGGUCUUUGGGGGACAUGAUAAUUAGAGAACAGCUAACCCCAUCAGUGCCAUUAGGAAGGAUUUUAAAGUUGGUUCAUUUGUCUUUGCUGCCCUGGAAGCAAAUAUUCAACAUUUCCCCUGUUGAUACCAAUCGUUUGCUUAGCAAACUUUCUUAAAGAUUAAUAAUGUCAAGUUGAAAUUUUGCCUAGCUUGUCUAGAUGAUCCCAAAAAUCAGAGCAGGCAGUGAUGAGCCAGGAGGCUCUCCUGUGAGCGCACUGCCAGUCACCGGGGCAGGAGUUCGGGUCUUGUGUGGGUGCCCGGUUCCUAGGGAUGUUUCUGUUUUUCUUGUUAAUUAAAGCAAGCAUGAGAUCACCAGAAGACUGGUCUGCAGCUGGCAAAAUAAAUAUGUGCCUUCUG
This 2470-nucleotide long non-coding RNA is filed under the name Mus musculus (house mouse). Its description in RNAcentral is "long non-coding RNA chr7:125710836-125713306". Lineage: Eukaryota; Metazoa; Chordata; Mammalia; Rodentia; Muridae. The record is from RNAcentral.